RNAcentral lists this ribosomal RNA (471 nucleotides) under uncultured bacterium. Its description in RNAcentral is "bacterial SSU rRNA". It matches the Rfam family "Bacterial small subunit ribosomal RNA", at positions 28 to 507 of the family's 1533-position model. The record is from RNAcentral.
GAUGAACGCUGGCGGCGUGCUUAACACAUGCAAGUCGAACGGAUUUGACAGAAAGCUUGCUUUCGGUUAAAUUAGUGGCGGACGGGUGAGUAACGCGUGGAUAACCUGCCGUAUACAGGGGGAUAACACUUAGAAAUAGGUGCUAAUACCGCAUAAGCGCACAGUUUCGCAUGAGACAGUGUGAAAAACUCCGGUGGUAUACGAUGGAUCCGCGUCUGAUUAGGUAGUUGGUGGGGUAACGGCCCACCAAGCCGACGAUCAGUAGCCGGCCUGAGAGGGUGAACGGCCACAUUGGGACUGAGACACGGCCCAAACUCCUACGGGAGGCAGCAGUGGGGAAUAUUGCGCAAUGGGGGAAACCCUGACGCAGCAAUGCCGCGUGAAGGAUGAAGGUUUUCGGAUUGUAAACUUCUUUUACUGAGGACGAAACAAAUGACGGUACUCAGAGAAUAAGCCACGGCUAACUACGUG